GAUGAAGAACGUAGCGAAAUGCGAUAAGUAGUGUGAAUUGCAGAAUUCAGUGAAUCAUCGAAUCUUUGAACGCACAUUGCGCCCCUUGGUAUCCCGAGGGGCAUGCCUGUUCGAGCGUCAUUUCACCACUCAAGCCUGGCUUGGUGUUGGGCGGCGUCCCCUUUGGGGACGCGCCUCGAAACGCUCGGCGGCGUGGCACCGGCUUUAAGCGUAGCAGAAUCUUUCGCUUUGGAAGUCGGGGCCCCGUCUGCCGGAAGACCUACUCGCAAGGUUGACCUCGGAUCAGGCAGGGAUACCCGCUGAACUUAAGCAUAUCAAUAAGCGGAGGA
This 329-nucleotide unclassified non-coding RNA is filed under the name soil metagenome. RNAcentral's name for it is "partial contains 5.8S ribosomal RNA, internal transcribed spacer 2, and large subunit ribosomal RNA". The stretch from base 1 to 120 matches the Rfam family "5.8S ribosomal RNA", at positions 35 to 154 of the family's 154-position model. The record is from RNAcentral.